UACGUAGGGGGCAAGCGUUGUUCGGAAUUACUGGGCGUAAAGGGCGCGUAGGCGGCCCAGCAAGUCUGGUGUGAAAGCCCGGGGCUCAACCCCGGAAUGGCUUUCGAAACUGCUGAGCUAGAGUACAGAAGGGGCAACCGGAAUUCCCAGUGUAGCGGUGAAAUGCGUAGAUAUUGGGAAGAACACCUGAGGCGAAGGCGGGUUGCUGGGCUGAUACUGACGCUGAGGCGCGAAAGCCAGGGGAGCAAACGGG
RNAcentral lists this ribosomal RNA (253 nucleotides) under uncultured bacterium. Its description in RNAcentral is "partial 16S ribosomal RNA". It matches the Rfam family "Bacterial small subunit ribosomal RNA", at positions 524 to 776 of the family's 1533-position model. The record is from RNAcentral.